CCGCGCAGCCUCUCCCGCCGCCGCGCGCUGCAGCGCUGCUCUACCCUGUGGGCCCUUCCGGCCAGGGGCUCGCAGCAGCCCUGGGAAUGGCGCGCGGCGCCCGGACUCUGAAUGCGUGGAGGGCAGCGGCCUGGCCUGCCUUCAGCCGCCUUGUCCAUGGGAGCCCAGAAGGCCCCGAAGCGGCCCCGGUCCGCGUUCUCUGGCCAGGAAAUGGGCAGAUUGACUUGAGCGCGUUUGAGUUUUCGGCCAUCGGCAGUGUGCCACGGAGUAUUUAAUACAAGCGGGGAUUUCUUUCUUGGAAAGGGAAGGCUGUCAAAUGCAUGUGCGCCUAGCCUGUCACAGUGACGUCAACGUAGAAGUAAAAUGCCAUUUAAGGUUUAAGUCUUGGUAACUGUUUCAAGGUGCACAACUUGGCCGAAAUCGAAUGAGCAUCACUAACUGAAGGUGAAAGGUGGAUAUCUGAAGCAGACUGCUGCUUGCCAAACAUUACCUGGGAGCACAAAAAUGACCUAAGGAUGUCCUUGGUGAGGAAUUUGAAAGAUUCAUCUUCGCAAGGGUUGCUUGGAUUAUUUAAAAUACCCAGGAGCCUGAAGGGUGCUAAGAUUCUGGACAGUCUGUAAACGUGCAUUUAAAACUGUGGGGCUAUAAAUAAAUAUUUUGAUGUGCUUUGA
Manis javanica (Malayan pangolin) is the source of this 671-nucleotide long non-coding RNA. RefSeq lists it as uncharacterized. The record is from RefSeq and is a predicted model, not a curated record. NCBI's taxonomy places the organism in Eukaryota, Metazoa, Chordata, Mammalia, Pholidota, Manidae.